This 465-nucleotide ribosomal RNA is filed under the name uncultured delta proteobacterium. Its description in RNAcentral is "partial 16S ribosomal RNA". It matches the Rfam family "Bacterial small subunit ribosomal RNA", at positions 338 to 794 of the family's 1533-position model. The record is from RNAcentral. Lineage: Bacteria; Deltaproteobacteria.
CCUACGGGAGGCAGCAGUGGGGAAUCUUGCGCAAUGGGGGAAACCCUGACGCAGCAACGCCGCGUGGGUGAUGAAGGCCUUCGGGUCGUAAAGCCCUGUCAGGUGGAAAGAAACAUGUCGAUGCGAACACCAUCGGCAUCUGACGGUACCACCGGAGGAAGCACCGGCUAACUCCGUGCCAGCAGCCGCGGUAAUACGGAGGGUGCAAGCGUUGUUCGGAAUUACUGGGCGUAAAGCGCGUGUAGGUGGUUGAGCAAGUCAGAUGUAAAAGCCUUUCGCUUAACGAAAGAAGUGCAUUUGAAACUGCUCGGCUAGAGUACGGGAGAGGAGAGUGGAAUUCCCGGUGUAGAGGUGAAAUUCGUAGGUAUCGGGAGGAACACCAGUGGCGAAGGCGACUCUCUGGUCCGAUACUGACACUGAGACGCGAAAGCGUGGGGAGCAAACAGGAUUAGAUACCCUUGUAGU